UUUAUUGGAGAGUUUGAUCCUGGCUCAGGACGAACGCUGGCGGCGUGCCUAACACAUGCAAGUCGAACGGAGAAUUUUAUUUCGGUAGAAUUCUUAGUGGCGAACGGGUGAGUAACGCGUAGGCAACCUGCCCUUUAGACGGGGACAACAUUUCGAAAGGAGUGCUAAUACCGGAUGUGAUCAUCGUGCCGCAUGGCAGGAUGAAGAAAGAUGGCCUCUACAAGUAAGCUAUCGCUAAAGGAUGGGCCUGCGUCUGAUUAGCUAGUUGGUAGUGUAACGGACUACCAAGGCGAUGAUCAGUAGCCGGUCUGAGAGGAUGAACGGCCACAUUGGGACUGAGACACGGCCCAAACUCCUACGGGAGGCAGCAGUGGGGAAUCUUCCGCAAUGGACGAAAGUCUGACGGAGCAACGCCGCGUGAGUGAUGAAGGAUUUCGGUCUGUAAAGCUCUGUUGUUUAUGACGAACGUGCAGUGUGUGAACAAUGCAUUGCAAUGACGGUAGUAAACGAGGAAGCCACGGCUAACUACGUGCCAGCAGCCGCGGUAAUACGUAGGUGGCGAGCGUUGUCCGGAAUUAUUGGGCGUAAAGAGCAUGUAGGCGGCUUAAUAAGUCGAGCGUGAAAAUGCGGGGCUCAACCCCGUAUGGCGCUGGAAACU
Molecule: ribosomal RNA, 658 nt
Filed under: Bacteroides thetaiotaomicron
Lineage: Bacteria; Pseudomonadati; Bacteroidota; Bacteroidia; Bacteroidales; Bacteroidaceae
Description: bacterial SSU rRNA
Rfam family: Bacterial small subunit ribosomal RNA
Source: RNAcentral